GGCUGUUACCCCACCGCCCGGCAGCUCCAUGGUGAUGCUGCAGAUGACGUCGCCCUCUACCUGUCAGCAGCCGCGAGCGCCGUCCCCGUGCCACAGAAAACAAAGCGCCCACCAUCACAAGCAUAACAGCGGGCCGGAGCACCAGCGCCCCCGCAGGACGGCACAGGAGCUGCAGCUGCCCCUGGACAACACGCAGAGCAGCCUGCCCUCGUCCCCAGCGCUCACCCCUUCUCCUGGACAAUCCCACAGCAGCAUCAAGGCCAUGCCGACCGGACUGCCCCCCAUCCCGCUCAUGGCCCACCCCCACGCAGCGCACCCCCACCUCGCGCACCCCCACCACCCAAUGCUGCCUACUGCCUUCUGCCACCCUGGACAAGGUGAGCCGCAUUACUCGCUUCUGGGGCAGCCGCUCCAGUACAAGCCCUCCAUCAGACCUCCGCUGCUCCACGCCGCACAUAUGGUCACCAAACACCAGUGAACAUCCCGACGGCGGGGGUGACGAGACCUCCUGCGGGUAUUGACGAGGCAAACCAAAACCUACCGAAUUCACCGGCAAAAAAAAGAAUAGCGACGCAUCGGGGACGCAUCGGGAUUUCGGCCGUUAAGUUCGCCGGCGAAGAAAGGGGGCAGAUAUGGACUAUUUUGUAGCUGCUAAAAUAUUUCACUACACCCAUCCUCUCUGUCACUUGCAACGAAUGUUUACUGUUAAUUUAUUUUAUGGUUUUCAAAUAACCAAGCACCACCGGUUUCCAAAAUGGCCACUACAUAAUGUAAAAUUCUGCCUUUUCUUUUAUUCGGGUUUCCUUUUGUUUUCGUUCCAGCAAGGAGGAGUUUGAAAACGUUGCCACUGUUAAAAAAAAACUGAGUGAUAAUAUUUUUGCAUUUAAAUUUUCCUAUAUCUAUAAUAUAUAUAUUGUUACAAAAAGUGUGCUUAUUUUUACUUUCGUUUUAUUCCUUCGCCUUCAUCAACCUGGCAAUGUUAAAAAAUUAUUGUAAUAGUUCGUGCCACCAAAUGUUCACAGCAUUACAACCAGGCCAUCGAGAUCUCAAAAGAAAGCUUCGAUAUAUUGUCAUUUUAGGCUCCACGAAUGUUGUUUUUGCACUGACGGAGGUUCGGAGACGUGUUUGUUGCACUUACCCAGGCGACUUUGUUUUAUAUUUAAAUUAAAAAUGUUUAUAUAUGCACAAAGAAAAUGCAAUGCUGUGUGUCUUUUGUUUGAUUUUUCUUGGCAAAAGUAACUGGAGGUGCCCCAUGUAAGGUGUGACUUAGGCUAUGUAUAAUGUCUAACGCCAAUAAAACUUUGCACCACGUGUGUUAACUUAAACAUGACUAUAUAAUAAUGAAAAAUAGGCCUAUGCAUAUGAAGAUGAGGCAUGUAAUUCAAUGUCGCGUUGGUGAAAUGGAUG
This 1407-nucleotide long non-coding RNA is filed under the name Neogobius melanostomus (round goby). RNAcentral's name for it is "lncRNA (ENSNMLG00000001137.1)". The record is from RNAcentral. Lineage: Eukaryota; Metazoa; Chordata; Actinopteri; Gobiiformes; Gobiidae.